This 484-nucleotide ribosomal RNA is filed under the name uncultured bacterium. Its description in RNAcentral is "partial 16S ribosomal RNA". It matches the Rfam family "Bacterial small subunit ribosomal RNA", at positions 30 to 507 of the family's 1533-position model. The record is from RNAcentral.
AUUGAACGCUGGCGGCAGGCCUAACACAUGCAAGUCGAGCGGAUGAAGGGAUCUUGCUCCUGGAUUCAGCGGCGGACGGGUGAGUAAUGCCUAGGAAUCUGCCUGGUAGUGGGGGAUAACGUCCGGAAACGGGCGCUAAUACCGCAUACGUCCUGAGGGAGAAAGUGGGGGAUCUUCGGACCUCACGCUAUCAGAUGAGCCUAGGUCGGAUUAGCUAGUUGGUGGGGUAAAGGCCUACCAAGGCGACGAUCCGUAACUGGUCUGAGAGGAUGAUCAGUCACACUGGAACUUAGACACGGUCCAGACUCCUACGGGAGGCAGCAGUGGGGAAUAUUGGACAACGGGCGAAAGCCUGAUCCAGCCAUGCCGCGUGUGUGAAGAAGGUCUUCGGAUUGUAAAGCACUUUAAGUUGGGAGGAAGGGCAGUAAGUUAAGACCUUGCUGUUUUGACGUUACCAACAGAAUAAGCACCGGCUAACUUCGUG